RNAcentral lists this long non-coding RNA (1508 nucleotides) under Salvia miltiorrhiza (redroot sage). RNAcentral describes it as "long non-coding RNA (SMIL_LNC006005)". Lineage: Eukaryota; Viridiplantae; Streptophyta; Magnoliopsida; Lamiales; Lamiaceae. The record is from RNAcentral.
AGCUGUAAAUUAUAUCUUUUUAACACGGUUUAUAACCUUUAUUGUAUUUCCUUUUUGCAUUUGUAGGGAAUCCUGGUGACAAAGGCAAGGGUAAAGCUGUGUCUGAAACGUCUGAUUUUAUCGAGAAUAGUCCUCGAGUUACAAGAGGUUAGUUUGAAGGAACAAUGCAUUUUAAUUGUAUUAUAAUUUUUCAUGUGUUAACGAAGAAGCAUGUGGGAUGAAUAUGUGCUGAAUUUGGGGAGAAUAGUCAUUGUGGUGUUGGAUUUUUUUUUAUUAUGCAGAGCGAAACCCAUUUCAAAUUUUUGUAAGUGUUCGUUACAUUAGCUUGCUAUCUGUUAGUUUAAGAUAUGGUAUACGUAGAAUCAUUCGUAGGGAUGCAGGCAUUAACUAAGAUUUUUUUUUUUGCUACUGCUUACUCAAGUAUUAUUUUUUAGUUAUAUGAGAUAUUUGGUUUGUGUUUGAUUAAAUUGUGUGUACGAAUAUUUUGCCUAACUAUGUGAUGCGAUAUGUAUUUGUGUAUGAAUUUUCCGGUAGGAAGGUGACACUAUCAAUUAUUAUAAUGCUCAACGGUAUAAUGUAUUUUCACUGUAUUAAGAUUCAAUGAAGUAUGUGAAAUGAAUAUUGUUAAUAAUAAUGCGAAUUGGUAUGUGUUUGAACAUGAAUAAUUUUAUUUUGAGUUGUUAUAUGUUCUUAAAUGUCACUGCCAUUUAUUAUAAUGCACAUAGUUAUAAUAAAAUAAAAAUUAUUCAUGAAGAUAUACAUAAAUUCGUAACAGAAAUACAUAUUCACAACAGGUUGCAUUAGUCAUUUUUUUGGAAUAAUAUUUGAUCCGGGUUUAUUUUGAUAUGUGGAGAGUUUAUUUAACAAUAAUAUUGUGUGAAUGAUUAGUUAAAUUUUUGAAUAAAUUCGUGAGAAUAUAAUAACCCUACACACGUGCAGGUAGUGUGAAGGGGAAAGGCAAACUGAUUGCGACUGAUGACGUGAGUGGACCUGCAAAUGUUGCUCAACUACGUGAAGGUUAGAUAUAUUUAUAUUUUCUUAUUAGUGAAUGCGUUGCAACAUUGUAAAGAUGGAAAAAGUUUUGACAAAAAUAAAAAUUAUAAAUGAAAUACGUGUUGCAGUUCGUACGAAGUAUUGAAAUGAUCCAUCAUUGUUAGCUUUUAAGCGAUCGAUACUUGGUGGUACAUUUAAAUAACUGCAAAUUCAUUUCAUAUUCUACUAUUUUAAUUGCAUUUUGUUCACUUUAUAUUAUAUCUAAAUUGCGUUUCAAUUUCAUAGGUAUCUUGAAGAUUUAAGUUUAUGAUUUGGUAAUCAAGCAUUAAUUUUAAAUGAUUGUUUCUUAUCGAUCAGGAUAAAUACUUAAGAGAAAAUUGAGUGAGACUCAUAACAAGGAAGCGCCUGGUGGUGGUUCGGACGUACCAGAAGUUAGAGUUGUGUCUCCAGUUGCUCCUGCCAAAAAGACUAGAAUUGAUAAACGUAUUUAUAAAUAAUUUUAUUGAUUAGCCUGC